Molecule: ribosomal RNA, 301 nt
Filed under: uncultured bacterium
Lineage: Bacteria
Description: partial 16S ribosomal RNA
Rfam family: Bacterial small subunit ribosomal RNA
Source: RNAcentral
CAGCCGCCGCGGGAAUACGUAGGUGACAAGCGUUGUCCGGAAUUAUUGGGCGUAAAGGGCUCGCAGGCGGUUUCUUAAGUCUGAUGUGAAAGCCCCCGGCUCAACCGGGGAGGGUCAUUGGAAACUGGGAAACUUGAGUGCAGAAGAGGAGAGUGGAAUUCCACGUGUAGCGGUGAAAUGCGUAGAGAUGUGGAGGAACACCAGUGGCGAAGGCGACUCUCUGGUCUGUAACUGACGCUGAGGAGCGAAAGCGUGGGGAGCGAACAGGAUUAGAUACCCCAGUAGUCCCUGUCUCUUAUAC